AGUAACGCAUAGGAAUUUACCCGGUAGUGGGGGAUAACCUGGGGAAACCCAGGCUAAUACCGCAUACGUCCUACGGGAGAAAGGGGGCUUUGGCUCCCGCUAUCGGAUGAGCCUAUGCCGGAUUAGCUAGUUGGUGAGGUAAUGGCUCACCAAGGCGACGAUCCGUAGCUGGUCUGAGAGGAUGAUCAGCCACAUCGGGACUGAGACACGGCCCGAACUCCUACGGGAGGCAGCAGUGGGGAAUAUUGGACAAUGGGGGCAACCCUGAUCCAGCCAUGCCGCGUGUGUGAAGAAGGCCCUCGGGUUGUAAAGCACUUUCAGCGAGGAAGAACGCCUGUCGGUUAAUACCCGGCAGGAAAGACAUCACUCGCAGAAGAAGCACCGGCUAACUCCGUGCCAGCAGCCGCGGUAAUACGGAGGGUGCAAGCGUUAAUCGGAAUUACUGGGCGUAAAGCGCGCGUAGGUGGCUUGAUAAGCCGGUUGUGAAAGCCCCGGGCUCAACCUGGGAACGGCAUCCGGAACUAUCAGGCUAGAGUGCAGGAGAGGAAGGUAGAAUUCCCGGUGUAGCGGUGAAAUGCGUAGAGAUCGGGAGGAAUACCAGUGGCGAAGGCGGCCUUCUGGACUGACACUGACACUGAGGUGCGAAAGCGUGGGUAGCAAACAGGAUUAGAUACCCUGGUAGUCCACGCCGUAAACGAUGUCGACCAGCCGUUGGGUGCCUAGCGCACUUUGUGGCGAAGUUAACGCGAUAAGUCGACCGCCUGGGGAGUACGGCCGCAAGGUUAAAACUCAAAUGAAUUGACGGGGGCCCGCACAAGCGGUGGAGCAUGUGGUUUAAUUCGAUGCAACGCGAAGAACCUUACCUACCCUUGACAUCCUGCGAACUUGUGAGAGAUCACUUGGUGCCUUCGGGAGCGCAGAGACAGGUGCUGCAUGGCUGUCGUCAGCUCGUGUUGUGAAAUGUUGGGUUAAGUCCCGUA
Molecule: ribosomal RNA, 980 nt
Filed under: Halomonas sp.
Lineage: Bacteria; Pseudomonadati; Pseudomonadota; Gammaproteobacteria; Oceanospirillales; Halomonadaceae
Description: bacterial SSU rRNA
Rfam family: Bacterial small subunit ribosomal RNA
Source: RNAcentral